Triticum urartu is the source of this 2189-nucleotide non-coding RNA. NCBI's taxonomy places the organism in Eukaryota, Viridiplantae, Streptophyta, Magnoliopsida, Poales, Poaceae. The record is from RefSeq and is a predicted model, not a curated record.
UUAAAAAAAUAAAUAUGAAAGAUUGUCUUAACAAUAAAGAAAAGUUUUGGUACAUCAUAAAUUUUUCAUUUUGUAAAAUUAAAAUUUUCAAUUAUAUACAUUACAGAUGCAUACCAAAUAAUAGUAUAAAUGUUAUUUGAAAACAUUUUAUGUGGCUAAGUAAUAAAAAACAUUAAUUACAAUUGUAAUAUGAUACACUUAGUUUAAAAUAAGUAUAAAAGUUUAAUAUGAAAAAUAAUUAUUUUACAUCGCCCCGGACCCAAAAAUAUAUUGGACCAGCCCUGACCUGGAGGCGUGUGGCUGGGACGAGAGCGUGAAAGGCGUCCAAACCCGUGUCUGAUCAGUUCCCUUUGAUUUCAAGGAUUUGAAUCGCUGGAGGCUUGCGGCCGGGACGUGCUCGACAAAGCCGUCAAACCCCUGGUUGUGUGUCUGAACUGUUCCCUUUGAUUUCUAGGAUUUGGAUCGCUGGAGGCUUGCUGCCAGGACGAGAGCGUGAAAGGCGUCCAAAUCCUUGGUUGUGUGUCUGAACUGUUCCAUCUGAUUUUAAGGAUUUGGAUCGCUGCAGGCGUGCUGCCUGGACGAGAGUGACAAAGGCGUCUGCACCUUCCUAUAAGGCACAAAUCCUACCUGUUCUUGCUGCAGAGGCUGAAUUGAGUCUGGGUCCUGUUGUAAAGAUGUCGAAGGUGAAGCAAGAUGUUUUCGACAAGGCACACGCAAAGGCAGUGGCCUCCAUUGCAAGAAAGAGGCCCCCCCCCCAGCGCUCCUUUAAAGAUCUUGAAAUUAUACAAAUCACCUCCACGCCUACUGCAGUUCAACUUUUGCGCAUGUACAAAGACAUCCACAAUUUGUUUGUCAGAUAUAACGCUGCCCUGGUACCAGAGAAAGUGUGUUUUCCGAAGCCUCGUGGAGGAAUUUCGGCAACUUUGAAAUCUGAGAUUCUAGAUGAGGUUCCAAUAGCUAUACCUUAUGACAAGCAGACUUUAUAUUUCUUUAUCAUUGAGGUUAUGGUGGAUGCUGAUGAGGUGUUUCAGUUCCCGAUGCGUUUGGACAGUAUGUACUGCUGCGGUUUCCGUUGUAUCAAGCGCACUGAAGAUCCCUUAAAAAAGGUUUGGUAUUCUUUUGAAAAGGUGUCGAUCUUUCCACUGAGGCUUUUCAAUAACAGGGAGAAUCUGGUCUGUCUUUAGCCUAUAACAGCUUUGCAAAAAUUCAAAUUUAUAAGGGUGUAAUUGCAAAGUUCUGUAAUCACUUUCGGCACUUUCGGCCUUGCCGUAAUGAUCCAGUGGCUCAGGUGUUAAAAGACACGAUGUACUUUAUAUUUUCUGAAGCCUCCAGGUUUUGGUUCGCCAUGGGUCUUUUUGAAAGGAAUUCAGAACGAACAGGAUUAUGCCGUUCGUCUCACUGAGCUAAUGGGAGAUCUAAUACAGAGUUAUGGUAAUUCGUCUCGACUUGGAGUAUACUUGUGGCUAGCAUUCCUUGAAAGAAAGAUGGCGUUAUCUGCCAAGUGCCUACUACAUGAUCCUACCAGAUUUCCGGACUUGCUCCUGGCCUUUGACGAAGAGGCCAAAACUUUCUUUAAGUUUGAACCAUUACUCAACUUUAGAGGACCAAAUAAUGAUUUGAGUCUUGAAGCCUUGGUUGGAGAAUCGCUAUUCAUUGUCAAGUACAGCUGCGUCCUUGUUCGGAAGGCGCUGAUGCGUAAUGCAGGCUACAACAAAAUUUUCCCUGUGAUGACGCCAAUAUCUCCUGACGAUGUUAAUUGUUACGAUGACUGAAGGAGCUGCGCUGGAAAACACUAGUGCUGAAAGAGUCCGUCUGGCGAAUGUUUCUCAUGUGUCUUGGGUAGAAGUGACCAGUAUUUUGUCAAAUGGUUCUCCUGUGCCUUUGGAUGUAAAACCGCACUGCCAGUAGGAUUGUAGAAAUUUUGGUAGCAAUUGGGCAACUAUUACCAACCAAAUUUGAUUCCUUGCCUUUGUUGGUUUGGAUGUAAAACCGCACUACGAAUAGGAUUGUAGAAAUUUUGGUAGCAACCUGGCAGUUAUAACUAAAUUUGAUUCCUUGUCUUUGUUGGCUUGGAUGUAAAACCGCACUGUGGGUAGGAUUGUAGAAAUGUUUGGUAGCAAUUGGGCCUUUGUUGGCUUGGAUGUAAAACCGCCCUGCGGGUAGGAUUGUAGAAAUGUUUGUCGCAAUUG